AUACGGAGGAUCCGAGCGUUAUCCGGAUUUAUUGGGUUUAAAGGGUGCGCAGGCGGCCAUUUAAGUCAGCGGUUAAAUCGUGGGGCUCAACCCCAUUCUGCCGUUGAUACUGGGUGGCUUGAUUGCGGUCGAGGUUGGCGGAAUUCGUUGUGUAGCGGGGUAAUGCUUAGAUAUCACGAAGAACUCCGAUUGCGAAGGCAGCCUGCUGGACUGUAACUGACGCUGAUGCUCGAAAGUGUGGGUAUCAAACAGGAUUAGAUACCCUGGUAGUCCACACAGUAAACGAUGAAUACUCGCUGUUUGCGAUAUACAGUAAGCGGCCAAGCGAAAGCGUUAAGUAUUCCACCUGGGGAGUACGCCGGCAACGGUGAAACUCAAAUGAAUUGGCGGGG
This 392-nucleotide ribosomal RNA is filed under the name uncultured bacterium. Its description in RNAcentral is "partial 16S ribosomal RNA". It matches the Rfam family "Bacterial small subunit ribosomal RNA", at positions 523 to 918 of the family's 1533-position model. The record is from RNAcentral.